GCCUUCAUAUUUGUGUAAUGAUCCUCUCUCCGUAAGGGUGAACCUGCGGAGGGAUCAUUACACAAAU
Molecule: ribosomal RNA, 67 nt
Filed under: Alternaria sp. ZC-2014
Lineage: Eukaryota; Fungi; Ascomycota; Dothideomycetes; Pleosporales; Pleosporaceae
Description: partial 18S ribosomal RNA
Source: RNAcentral